RNAcentral lists this ribosomal RNA (433 nucleotides) under uncultured bacterium. Its description in RNAcentral is "partial 16S ribosomal RNA". It matches the Rfam family "Bacterial small subunit ribosomal RNA", at positions 29 to 507 of the family's 1533-position model. The record is from RNAcentral.
AACGAACGCUGGCGGCAUGCCUAACACAUGCAAGUCGAACGAGACCUUCGGGUCUAGUGGCGCACGGCUGCGUAACGCGUGGGAACCUGCACUUAGGUUCGGAAUAACUCCCCGAAAGGGGUGCUAAUACCGGAUAAUGUCAUCGGACCAAAGAUUUAUCGCCUUUGGAUGGGCCCGCGUUGGAUUCGCUAGUUGGUAGGGUAAAAGCCUACCAAGGCGACGAUCCAUAGCUGGUCUGAGAGGAUGAUCAGCCACACUGGGACUGAGACACGGCCCAGACUCCUACGGGAGGCAGCAGUGGGGAAUAUUGGACAAUGGGCGAAAGCCUGAUCCAGCAAUGUCGCGUGAGUGAUGAAGGCCUUAGGGUUGUAAAGCUCUCUUACCCGGGAUGAUAAUGACAGUACCGGGAGAAUAAGCUCCGGCUAACUCCGUG